GGUGAGAUUAUGUAAAGAAGGAUUAGGGUAGUGAAGAAAAAUGGUUAAAAUAUAGAGUGGGUUAUAAGAGAGUGUUAUAUAGUGAUGAGAAUGAAAAUGAUAAUAUUUGUUAUUUCUCUAUAAAAUGUUGAAGAGUGUGUAUGGAUUGAUAUGGAGGAAGAUUAAACGGAAGGAAGAGCAGCAACUACGGGGCUAUAUCAGCAUUCAUCAC
This 211-nucleotide long non-coding RNA is filed under the name Lupinus angustifolius (narrow-leaved blue lupine). RNAcentral describes it as "long non-coding RNA (LANG_LNC002364)". Lineage: Eukaryota; Viridiplantae; Streptophyta; Magnoliopsida; Fabales; Fabaceae. The record is from RNAcentral.